UUUAGGCUUAGGCUUAGGCUUAGGCUUAGGCUUAAGCAUAGGCUUAGAGUUAGGCUUAGUGUUAUGCUUAGGCUUAGGCUUAAGAUUAGACCUAGGCUUAGG
Non-coding RNA from Caenorhabditis elegans, 102 nucleotides. The record is from Ensembl. Lineage: Eukaryota; Metazoa; Nematoda; Chromadorea; Rhabditida; Rhabditidae.